CAGUAGCCGCGGUAAUACGGAGGGAGCUAGCGUUGUUCGGAAUUACUGGGCGUAAAGCGCACGUAGGCGGCUUUGUAAGUUAGAGGUGAAAGCCCGGAGCUCAACUCCAGAAUUGCCUUUAAGACUGCAUCGCUUGAAUCCAGGAGAGGUGAGUGGGAUUCCGAGUGUAGAGGUGAAAUUCGUAGAUAUCCGCAAGAACACCAGUGGCGAAGGCGGCUCACUGGCCCGAUGCUGACGCUGAGGCACGAAAGCGUGGGGAGCAAACAGGAUUAGAUACCCCCGUAGUCCCUGUCUCUUAUAC
Molecule: ribosomal RNA, 301 nt
Filed under: uncultured bacterium
Lineage: Bacteria
Description: partial 16S ribosomal RNA
Rfam family: Bacterial small subunit ribosomal RNA
Source: RNAcentral